CUCAGUUUGUCUCUCUAUCGCUUUCCCAGAACACAUCUACAUCUGCCCGACGCGUUUCUCCUCAACCAUGGGCCCUUGCCCGCGGUGCGAACUGCUUCACGCGCCGCCACGUGCGAGAACCAAGCUCUGCUCCUGAAGUGAUGGGGGCUCUGCUCUGCCAGGGAUCAUCGUUUCAACAGAUUGCCAAGUAGAGCCCAGGAGCCCUGCCCCCUGCUUUCCUCCUUCCUCGUUUCACAAUGUCUUUUUCAGCAAAGAUGCCUUUCCAGACAUUUCUUUACAUGUCUGAAAUAUUUAUACACAAAACUGGGGAAGAUGAAUUAAAA
Molecule: long non-coding RNA, 323 nt
Filed under: Theropithecus gelada (gelada)
Lineage: Eukaryota; Metazoa; Chordata; Mammalia; Primates; Cercopithecidae
Description: lncRNA (ENSTGEG00000008607.1)
Source: RNAcentral